Eucalyptus grandis is the source of this 1294-nucleotide long non-coding RNA. RefSeq lists it as uncharacterized. The transcript is spliced from 4 exons. NCBI's taxonomy places the organism in Eukaryota, Viridiplantae, Streptophyta, Magnoliopsida, Myrtales, Myrtaceae. The record is from RefSeq and is a predicted model, not a curated record.
UCCAGCAGCAACUUGCAGAAGGCAAAUCGGAAGAUGCCACGGGAACAUUUCUAGACCUGGGGCAAGUCAUCCUAAAAUACAGUAACAACGUGGUAUCUAUGUCCAUCACUUGUCCUCGCCAUAACACAGGAAGAUGGCGUGCACUUUAGUGUUAAGGGAGUUUCUGAGAGUUGCAUGACCUGCAGGACUUUUAAAACUUCAUGUUAGACGACGAGAGCAACUCGGCAGUGGUGAAAGAGGGUAAAAGUAGCUCAUAUAGAUACACGGAGAGAACCUCAACUGGUGCAGGUCAGCCAACUGUGACUUCGGAAGCUUUAUGAAUGGGCCAAUUAGAAAGAAGCUAAAGAUCAUCCCGGAUAAUGUGACAUGGCAAGGACAGUUUCGCUCGAUUUUUCCAGCCAUGCGUGGAGAUUUCACGAAACUAAGAAUCGAAGAGGUGGACAAGCUUUUAGCCAAAAGCAUAAACGUCGCCAUUUACAAUGGACAGUUCAGGGUUUUCCUCGAACUUUUUCCACGCGCUUCGCGCAGUCCGGUCGCCAACUGAUCUUGGCUCCCCAUAAUCUCAUAUGGACGACUUCCUAAUGCUGCAGCUAGAUCUCAUAUGUGCAACAAAAGGAGCAGAAGCAUGGCUCAGUAAGCUCAAGUGGCAUGGUCUGAGCAGUUUCCUGAGUGAGGACCGUGCUCCUCUGUACCGUGGAAAAGGCUUUACGGGGACGAAAGGAUCAGGAACCUCUUCUUUUACUGGAUUCUCGGCGCUGGACACAUGGUGAGCUAUUCACAGUCAAAUCCUUCCAGUGGAAUUGCUUUCGGGAUGUGAAGAUUACUUCAAGCCACGAAUCAUUCUUUCAAAGUACAAAAAGGAUCAUUCAAGAUGAAUCAGAUUCCUGAGAAUACUUCUAAAUUUUUGCUUUCACUAAGUAAAUCUCUAAAGAUGAUUUUCUCCCUCUCAAUUUUUCAUAUAUCUAUAAAACAGUAUAAUUCAUGGUUUCCAGUUUAGGCACCCUUCUCCAUAUAUCUUUUACUAACUAUAGCUCAGACAACUCUUCCAUAAAAUUAAAAAGUACAUAUUUCACAAAUUUCUUGAACUAGUAUUCCUCUUCUUGUCAUAAUUCUUAAUACAGUUUGAAAACAGUGAAACAUAAAAAUCGCCUUUAGCUUGUUGAAAAUUUGUAAAAUAAGGAAACUCUUUAAUCUUUUUAGCUCAUUUCUUACUUCUCUACGAAAAAUAGUAAUUGGAUGUUCUCCACAAGCCUGGACACUAUUUUCCUAUUUCUAUCACAUUCCAAAAACUUCA